This 252-nucleotide ribosomal RNA is filed under the name uncultured bacterium. RNAcentral describes it as "partial 16S ribosomal RNA". It matches the Rfam family "Bacterial small subunit ribosomal RNA", at positions 524 to 776 of the family's 1533-position model. The record is from RNAcentral.
UACGGAGGAUGCGAGCGUUAUCCGGAUUUAUUGGGUUUAAAGGGUGCGUAGGCGGUCCGCUAAGUCAGCGGUAAAAUUGCGGGGCUCAACCCCGUCGAGCCGUUGAAACUGGCAGACUUGAGUUGGCGAGAAGUACGCGGAAUGCGCGGUGCAGCGGUGAAAUGCAUAGAUAUCGCGCAGAACUCCGAUUGCGAAGGCAGCGUACCGGCGCCACACUGACGCUGAGGCACGAAAGCGUGGGGAUCGAACAGG